AGAGCACAGGAAAGUGCAGCACUGGGAAGAAAAUCUGGGAUCAAUAUGUAUACUUGAGAAAGACAGCCUGUGAACAUUGAAUUGGAAGUCUACUUCAUCAUCUCCCUGGGGUUGGAAAAUGCAUCACAUCCUUCAAAGAAAGAAACUCACCUUUCGAGGAGACUAGUAACAUGUCUCUGAAACUGGGCCCAAGUACUGCCUUCCAUUUCCUCAACUAGUCAACAUUUUUCUCCUCACCCCUAACAAUAUUCCUAAGUAAUAAUAAUAAAAAAAAAGCUGUUAUCUCCAUACUACCAGUGAGAUGGAUGACCACCACCAUUGACUGCUUGCUGUGGCUGUUUUAGCUGUGGCCUAAGUUGGGCACGGUGGAAGAUGGAUUGAGACAGAACUUACAUAACUGCAGUGCCAUGGAACAAUGUCGAGCCAGAAGAAUGGGACACAGACUGUUACUAUUGUGAGAGAACCUUUGGCUGGGACUGGACAGGAAUGGUAGUUCCUAUGAAAGUUGAGCUGCUGGUGAGAUCGUGCCAAGAAGACCGAUCCCAAACCUCAGUCCUUUUCUCCUGUUUCCUCUGGUUGGUUGUUCAUAGAGUUGAUAUCAGCAAGUUCCAGAAACAGUUCUUUCCUUUGUUCUUUGCCUUGUCUAUAAGUUGGAAGGAGGUUUCGGGGAAGACUCAAGGGAAGCAGUUUCUUUACAACUUUGCUAUGUGAUAGCUUCUUUACUGUGUUUUAAUAAACCAUGUGGC
This 746-nucleotide long non-coding RNA is filed under the name Sarcophilus harrisii (Tasmanian devil). RNAcentral's name for it is "lncRNA (ENSSHAG00000030199.1)". Lineage: Eukaryota; Metazoa; Chordata; Mammalia; Dasyuromorphia; Dasyuridae. The record is from RNAcentral.